UUAUUAGGUCUUUCCACCUUUCCGUGGAAAGACCUAUUGUAUUUGUUCUGAUUAUUAGGUCUUUCCACUUUUCCGUGGAAAGACCUAUAGGUUUUGUUCUGAUUAUUAUUAUUAUUAUUAGGUCUUUCCACCUUUCCGUGGAAAGACCUAUUGAAUUUGUUCUGAUUAUUAUUUUUUUUUUUUUUUUUUUCUUCCGCCUAAAUUUUUUCUUGCGUAGUAUUGAUGUUUCAAAAGAUGUCGCUUAGAUAUUUGGAAUAUGAUGUCGUAUAGUUUAUACGCUUUAAAAAUUUACAACUGCGUAACAAAAUACUUUACGUUGUAAGAGUUAUCUCCCCAAACACUGUUUUUCUUGUGGCCACUACUCCUUCGCAACCGUAAAAGAUUACGACAAAUUUAUUAUACCAAAUUGCUCGUUACAUCUUCAGGAUUAAGAUAUUCAUUU
RNAcentral lists this long non-coding RNA (442 nucleotides) under Mytilus galloprovincialis (Mediterranean mussel). The record is from RNAcentral. Lineage: Eukaryota; Metazoa; Mollusca; Bivalvia; Mytilida; Mytilidae.